GCCCGGUUAGCUCAGUUGGCCAGAGUGUCCGCUUGACGUGCGGAAGGUCGCAGGUUCAAGUCCUGCCAGGCGCACAA
Molecule: transfer RNA, 77 nt
Filed under: Elusimicrobiota bacterium
Lineage: Bacteria; Pseudomonadati; Elusimicrobiota
Description: Elusimicrobia bacterium (aquatic metagenome) tRNA-Val
Rfam family: tRNA
About the family: Transfer RNA (tRNA) molecules are approximately 80 nucleotides in length.
Source: RNAcentral